This is a long non-coding RNA of Pecten maximus, 124 nucleotides long. RefSeq lists it as uncharacterized. The record is from RefSeq and is a predicted model, not a curated record. The transcript has 3 exons. Lineage: Eukaryota; Metazoa; Mollusca; Bivalvia; Pectinida; Pectinidae.
CAACCUGGGACAACUGGUGAUAGGAAAACGCCACACCAACAGAAUGAAGGCGACACUCAUCAUCUUGUUUACGGCAGUUGUUGGAGUUUAUGGUGACGCCUCCAACUGCGGUGCUGUGAAUGGA